GACAGAGGGUGCAAACGUCGUUCGGAAUUACUGGGCGUAAAGCGCGCGCAGGCGGCCUUGCAAGUCGGGCGUGAAAUCCCACGGCUCAACCGUGGAAGUGCACUCGAAACUGCGAGGCUAGAGUCUUGGAGAGGAAGGCGGAAUGCUUGGUGUAGAGGUGAAAUUCGUAGAUAUCAAGCGGAACACCAGUGGCGAAGGCGGCUCACUGGACCGGUACUGACGCUGAGGCGCGAAAGCGUGGGGAGCAAACAGG
RNAcentral lists this ribosomal RNA (253 nucleotides) under uncultured bacterium. Its description in RNAcentral is "partial 16S ribosomal RNA". It matches the Rfam family "Bacterial small subunit ribosomal RNA", at positions 524 to 776 of the family's 1533-position model. The record is from RNAcentral.